This 497-nucleotide ribosomal RNA is filed under the name uncultured bacterium. RNAcentral's name for it is "partial 16S ribosomal RNA". It matches the Rfam family "Bacterial small subunit ribosomal RNA", at positions 28 to 507 of the family's 1533-position model. The record is from RNAcentral.
GAUGAGCGCUGGCGGCGUGCCUAAUACAUGCAAGUCGAGCGAACAGACGAGGAGCUUGCUCCUCUGACGUUAGCGGCGGACGGGUGAGAAACACGUGGAUAACCUACCUAUAAGACUGGGAUAACUUCGGGAAACCGGAGCUAAUACCGGAUAAUAUAUUGAACCGCAUGGUUCAAUAGUGAAAGACGGUUUUGCUGUCACUUAUAGAUGGAUCCGCGCCGCAUUAGCUAGUUGGUAAGGUAACGGCUUACCAAGGCAACGAUGCGUAGCCGACCUGAGAGGGUGAUCGGCCACACUGGAACUGAGACACGGUCCAGACUCCUACGGGAGGCAGCAGUAGGGAAUCUUCCGCAAAGGGCGAAAGCCUGACGGAGCAACGCCGCGUGAGUGAUGAAGGUCUUCGGAUCGUAAAACUCUGUUAUUAGGGAAGAACAAAUGUGUAAGUAACUUUGCACGUCUUGACGGUACCUAAUCAGAAAGCCACGGCUAACUACGUG